Long non-coding RNA from Hylaeus anthracinus, 2508 nucleotides. RefSeq lists it as uncharacterized. NCBI's taxonomy places the organism in Eukaryota, Metazoa, Arthropoda, Insecta, Hymenoptera, Colletidae. The transcript has 4 exons. The record is from RefSeq and is a predicted model, not a curated record.
CUCCUUAAGCGAAAAAGUUUCAUCGCCAACUGCCACUUUUUGUAGAGCGGUAGCCUGACGGACCGUUCUUUCGUAUAAGCAAAUGAAAAAUGGCGUUGAGCCAAGAUGGCCCAAGUCGACGAGAGAUCUCGCGGGACCACUUAUCUGCACCGUGUCUGGUCCACCAACCGUAGAUAAGGCGACCCUGUGGUCAUUAUCAACCCACUCGCAACCCUCCCCCGCCGCCGCCCUCAGCUUCCAACUCCUCUGGGCAGCGAGUUAAUUACUCCGGAAUUCCGUACGUCUCUGGAUUUCCCACGAAUCCCUUCCGUUGCAUUUUCUUCUUAGGAAGACCUUUCCCUUGUAUCGAAAAUCCUAACUAGACGUCAAUGCUCUUUACCCUUUCAGCGAAGAACGAAGGAAUUUACUAACUCGUUCCAUCGCGUAGUUCUUUCAGCACUUCGCUCGGCCAUAGGAAGCCGAGCUGAUUUAUUGUUUAACGAGCAAUCUGUUCCGCGAACGCUUCCAAGACCAAAGUAAACGUUACAGAGGGGGAAAAAUGGACGGGGUGAGAUGCUCUCCAUUGGAUGAUCGACUUGGUUAAACGAUACAGGGUGCACUCGAUCGGGCAGUUUGUCUAGCGAUAGCCAAUCGCGGUUGGAGAAAGUGGAUAUAACGGAACCAAUAAUGAGCCGUGACCAGCGGCUGUGAUCCAUCAAUCUGGAUCAGCCGGCUCAAACGACCCCUAGCAACGCAUCGGGGGCAGCAAACAAUUAGAACAGCUCUAAUGCCCAUACCCCUGCUUACAAGGGAACACUUGCAAACUGUCGGGCUCCAAGUUCGAUCAAACUUUCCGCAAACUCUGUUCGGAUCGAUGUAAGAACUGUGCUGUGUUUGCUUGCUGCUACUUUCGACUUUAACAGAUAGGAAGACUUGAAGGACACAUACUCCAUAAUAUCUGAAUAAAUUAUGUCACGACGAACAUUUGAAGAAACCUGGGUACCAGUAAUAAAAAUUUCCUCGAAAGGGGAGUUCACGGCGCAAUGGAACUCUGCCAGAUGAGGGAAACGAAGGAAACCGUCUGGAAGUUUGUCCACGACUCGCGAAAGUCCUGUCGACGAUGGAGUGUUCUGUUCUACGUGCACGUCGAUUGUAGCCUCGACUUUUAUGCACGAGCUAGUUGUAACGAUCAGCGAUUCAUAAAAGUUCCGAGGAACGGUAGAACGCGGAAUACAGAUCGCUAUGUUGCGUCGGAUGGAACGAUCGAUAAACAGAAAAAGCUGGGAACGUUGUUGCAGAAUUUUCCCGAUUACUCCUGGAAUAUACAGCAAAACAAAGGUUAACAUACAUACAGAAUUGUUUAAAGAAUUGAAGAGGAUGAAUGCUUGCCUUAUAAAAGAGUAGGAUAAUAAAUUUUGCGACUCUUCUGAUGAAUCACCCAUACAUGUAAGUAAAAUAGAGGCCAGCGUGCACACAUGCGCACUUCCGUACACACAGAAUUUAGUAACACGGUCACUGAGUAAUUCGUCACAGUUCGCCAAGUUCCUCGUGCGAAAGUUGCGCCUCGAUUGUCCGCCAACUAAUUUCGGCUGUAAUUCGCUCUGGGAAUGCAGGAAUGCGGAUCGGCCUCCACGCGUUUGGGAAAAAGGAAGAAAAAUUAGCGGAGGCAACAUUCUAACGUUUAAAUACCUUCAUCGAACAUCGUCCAACAAAACACCUAAACACAGGGAGAUGAACUUCUACCACUUGCACAACGAACCCCUCAAUUAUGGUAUAAUUUUGUUCGCAAUGCAAUUUGCGUUGGACGUGGAACAACGAAAUAAAUUUUGGGGAGUGGAACAACUUCGCCAUCGACCUGGACUCGUGUAGUCCUCGACGUGUCGAAAACCGGAAGUCACCAGCUGAACGCGAACUCCAAGCGAGCGUGGAGCAAUAGCUGGGAACCGCUCGCACCGUCCUCUUUAUUAAAUUUAUGGAAACUUCGCGUGCAUUUAUCGAAAGGGUCGGCGUGAAUGCGCGUCGUCGUCGUACGGUGUCCUGAUGCAACUCGAGCGUCGCAACUGGGCUAAUCGAAUCACGACCCGCGUACAGCCGCUAACUAAGCUUUUCUGUGCGCGCUCGGGUGGUGCAUUAAUUGGACCGAGUUUCUAUUUCGUUUGGUAGCCGUGUUUGUCAGUCGUCAAAGGGUCGGAAGAAAACCUCUGGCGAGUGUAUAAAAGGCGAAAAAAAAGGGACGGCUUUUUUUCGCGGGUGAAAAAGAUGGUCUUUAAAAGGACCUUUUUGAAAUUCGCGAGCUUUUCCUUUGAUUGAACGUCUACAGUUCUCGGGAGAAAGGAUGGAAGAAGUAGUUCUGAACGAAGAAAAUUGGUGUGGUUGGGAAAUUAUACCGAAAUCUCUGGUGCUCCUGCGUUAUCAGACUUGGAAUAUUUUUUGGGUAGAUAAUUAACACCGUCAGUGCCAGACAUACUCGUGAAAACAUUUACAAAGCUACAAUUAUGUUUUUAUACAAUUUGGAACUCUAUGAUUUAA